GACGAACGCUGGCGGCGUGCUUAACACAUGCCAGUCGAACGGAAAGGCCCUGCUUUUGUGGGGUGCUCGAGUGGCGAACGGGUGAGUAACACGUGAGUAACCUGCCCUUGACUUUGGGAUAACUUCAGGAAACUGGGGCUAAUACCGGAUAGGAGCUCCUGCUGCAUGGUGGGGGUUGGAAAGUUUCGGCGGUUGGGUAUGGACUCGCGGCUUAUCAGCUUGUUGGUGGGGUAGUGGCUUACCAAGGCUUUGACGGGUAGCCGGCCUGAGAGGGUGACCGGCCACAUUGGGACUGAGAUACGGCCCAGACUCCUACGGGAGGCAGCAGUGGGGAAUAUUGCACAAUGGGCGGAAGCCUGAUGCAGCAACGCCGCGUGCGGGAUGACGGCCUUCGGGUUGUAAACCGCUUUCGCCUGUGACGAGGCGUGAGUGACGGUAAUGGGUAAAGAAGCACCGGCUAACUACGUG
This 468-nucleotide ribosomal RNA is filed under the name uncultured bacterium. Its description in RNAcentral is "partial 16S ribosomal RNA". It matches the Rfam family "Bacterial small subunit ribosomal RNA", at positions 28 to 507 of the family's 1533-position model. The record is from RNAcentral.